Molecule: ribosomal RNA, 207 nt
Filed under: uncultured bacterium
Lineage: Bacteria
Description: partial 16S ribosomal RNA
Rfam family: Bacterial small subunit ribosomal RNA
Source: RNAcentral
CGCGUAGGCGGGGUGUCAAGUUAGGGGUGAAAGGCCUGGGCUCAACCUAGGAACUGCCUCUAAAACUGAUACUCUAGAGUCCGGGAGAGGAUGGCGGAAUUCCCAGUGUAGAGGUGAAAUUCGUAGAUAUUGGGAAGAACACCGGUGGCGAAGGCGGCCAUCUGGUCCGGCACUGACGCUGAGGCGCGAAAGCGUGGGGAGCAAACA